CACUCUGGACUUUGAAUCCGACCUUUUUUUGCAUCUCGAAAAGAGGUUUUAUAUGCGCGGGAGGAACGCCUUCUGCCUUCUUUGGCUCUAGCCGGCCGACGCGGUGCUAAGUGUUGCUGGCUGCAAGCUGUAAUGGGAUCGGUUGGAAUAAUUUUGAAACAGAUGCGCCGCGAUCCAUUUCUUCUGGUUCUGGUGAGAUCCUUCAACUUCCGUCAGAAUUUGGGUACAGCACCAGACUCACUGAUCGGGAUCCCUUCUGCUUGGUAUUUCUCGGCCUUUUGUCUCUUGAAUUCAUCAUCACCGACUGCUGCUUCUAGUUUACAUGGAAAAUCUGUCCUUGAAGAGCCAUCGGCGGCGCCUGUUUUCUUCCCUGCAGAUGGGGCUCCUCAUGGUGGCCGUUCUAAUUGUUUCCGUACUUCCCCCAUGAAUUUCUCGAUCAGGACAUUUUCUUGCUUCUUUUCUUCACAGAGUCUCGACAUUUCAAGUGAUGCGGAUGCGGCAGGCAAGCAUUUGGCCUCCAUUCCUGAGAAGGUGUAUGACACCAUCAUGUCCAGCUCCGGUGCUGAUCAGCGUCUGGAGAGCACUCUUGAUUCACUCAGCAUACAACCGACCACCGAGCUGGUGAGUGAUGUUAUCCGAAGGCUUCGUUACGAGGAAAAAUUGGCUUUCAGGUUUUUCACGUGGGCGGGCCAUCAAGAAGGGUACACCCACGAGCCUCCCGUGUACAACAAUAUGAUCGACAUAUUGUCGAGUACGAGAUACAAGGCGCGGCAGUUCGGGGUGGUUUGCGAUAUUCUGGAUUACAUGAAGAGAAGGAACAAAAACACUGUGCCCAUUGAUGCUCUCCUAGCAAUCUUGAGAACAUACACCGACAAGCAUCUGACCCAUCUCCGAAAAUUCGCGAAGAAGAAAAGAAUACGGCAAAAGACCCCUCCAGAAGUAGAUGCAUUUAACUUGCUGCUGGAUUCUCUCUGCAAGUGUAGCUUGGUCAUGGAGGCAGAUCUUAUGUUCCACCGGGUGAAGAAUAAGGUUAUCCCGAAUGCGGAGACUUACAAUAUUUUGUUUUUUGGGUGGUGCAGAGUGAGAGACCCUAGAAAGGCAAUGAAGGUGCUCGAGGAAAUGAUGCAGAUGGGUCACACUCCAGAGAAUUUCACAUACAAUGCUGCAAUUGAUUCCUUCUGCAGUGCAGGGAUGGUUUCAGAAGCCAGAGAGCUUUUUGAGUUCAUGAGAACUAAGGGCUCCACCAUUUCUUCACCAACUGCCAGGACAUAUAGUAUCAUGAUUGUGGCCCUGGCAAAGUCAGAUCUGAUGAAUGAGUGCUUUAGACUGCUAGCUGAUAUGAGAAGCAGCGGUUGCCUUCCUGAUGUGUCGACAUAUAAAGACAUGAUCGAAGGGAUGUGUUUGGCUGGGAAGGUCGAUGCUGCCUAUAAGAUUCUGGAAGAGAUGAGCCAGACAGGUUUUCCACCUGAUAUCCUUACAUAUAACUGCUUUCUCAAGGUGCUUUGCAAGCUUAGGAAGGCUGAAGAAGCUCUAGUGCUUUGUGAAAGAAUGAUAGAAUCAGGUUGUGAGCCUAGUGUCCAUACAUAUAACAUGUUGCUUAGAAUGUUUUUUGAGAUGUGCGAAGCGGAUAGGGCUCUUGAUAUGUGGCAUGAGAUGGAUCGAAGAGGAUGCGCACGUGUUGUGGAUACUUAUGGUAUUAUGAUUGAUGGGUUGUUCAAUUGCGGGAGGACAGAUGAUGCAUGUUCGCUUCUGGAGGAGGUAAUAAACCACAGGAUGAAAUUGCCAUAUCAGAAAUUUGAUGCCAUUCUGUUGUGGCUAUCAGCAAUAGGAAAUCUUCAUGCCAUCCAUCGUCUAUCAGAGCACAUGAGGAGGUUCUACAAUGUUGCGAUGGCCAGACGUUUUGCCAUAAGCCAGAAGAAGAAGAGCAUGAGCUUGAAGAGAAGAUAGACUUUCAGAUUUCCAGUACAAUCACCAAAGGUUAUAUACGGAAGUCAAGUCGAAGCUAGCUUCAGUUUGGUACUCAUCAGCUCUCACCAAUUUGUUUGUUAAGUAGUGGGCACUGCUUACCAAUGGCUAACAAUGUCCUGAUGCAAAAGCUUCUCUGCAAGAUUUGUGCCCAGGAUUUCCAGGUUUGGUUGUGUGGAGACUUAGGAGGUCUCUUGCAGCUUCUUGUCCAACCAAUGGUGAUGUGUCUUGAGAUGGAGUGACAGGCUUUGACAAACCCUGGCAAAGACUGACAGCUUUGAUGCAUGCUUGUAAGGUUGAUGAAAAUGGGUUCAUUAUCCUAGAAAAGCCUGAUAUACUUGGGAGAUCUGUGCUGGAGUAUUGUUUGUUAAUUGCUUUUGAUUUGGCUAGUUCUCAUAUUCUGGAAUCAGUUUUCCUUGGCAACUGCACAGGAUGAUGUCUGAUUCACCACUUUGGCGGUUGCUGCUGCAGUUAAGGAUUCUUUAUCUACCAGAGUUCAUUUAUGGAUAUUAUGUUGGAUACAAGUUAGAGGCUUCUUGCUUUGAAGGAAAGUUUAUGAUGUUACAACUGUUGAAGCGGUAUAUAAUGGCCUGUGUAAUUGAUUCUCUUGCUCAUGGUGGCUGCUUUUUUUCUACUCCUUUGUUGGAAUUAUUCUACUGUACAUAUGUGGUCUCUGUUGCUAGAUUUUAGGGGGGUCAGUAAAGAUUCUACUACUUUUUAUCAGCUCUACAUCACUUCUUUUCUUUUCUUCGGCUACAUUGUAACAGGUUCUUCUCUUACCAAAAAAAACAGGUUCUUCGACAUCUGUUAAGAAUGUAAUGGUGCUAUGUGUGCUUACACUUCAUCUUAUUGCUCCAAUAUGGUAUUACUUUGUAUGGGCUUGAUGGAGUCAGAUUCUAAGGCUUUCCUGCAAAGGACUGUUGUACCCAGGCCUGUUUUACCAGUACUUUGGAGUGGUUCCUUCCUGUAUUUUUGCUCAUCCGGUGUACUGUAAAUUUAAUGAUCUUUACCAUGGUUUUGGUGUCUUA
This is an RNA transcript of Elaeis guineensis (African oil palm), 2993 nucleotides long. It is a transcript of the gene named pentatricopeptide repeat-containing protein At1g73400, mitochondrial, with no coding region annotated. The record is from RefSeq and is a predicted model, not a curated record. Lineage: Eukaryota; Viridiplantae; Streptophyta; Magnoliopsida; Arecales; Arecaceae.